GGGAGCCAAGAUAAAAUGCUCCAUGACUUUAUCAAAGAAACGGCUUUGAUGGAUGUCUGGAGUACGCACCACCCUAGCGUCCGGGACUUUACGUUUUACUCCGCCCCUCAUGGGACCUUUUCCAGGAUAGACUGCUUUCUGUUAAACAACGCUAGCAUGGUCAGGGCAGUGGAGUCCAAGAUAGGAUCUAUAACAUGGUCGGACCAUGCGGAUAUCUCUUUAACUUUAGGGAACCUUUGUACAGCAUCCCCAUGGAACUGGAGAUUGAGCUCAGGCCUGCUGAAUGACAAGGCCAUCCAGGCUGAAAUAAGACAAG
Pelobates cultripes (western spadefoot toad) is the source of this 316-nucleotide non-coding RNA. Lineage: Eukaryota; Metazoa; Chordata; Amphibia; Anura; Pelobatidae. The record is from the annotation of a GenBank genome assembly.